Molecule: ribosomal RNA, 745 nt
Filed under: uncultured bacterium
Lineage: Bacteria
Description: bacterial SSU rRNA
Rfam family: Bacterial small subunit ribosomal RNA
Source: RNAcentral
AGAGUUUGAUUCUGGCUCAUGCCUUUAAGUGGCGGCGUGCCUAACACAUGCAAGUCGAACGGCCCUUAUGCAGCGGAAGCUUUCGGGCGGAAGCAGUAUACAGCCUAGUGGCGGACGGGUGAGUAACGCGUGGGUAACCUGCCCUGUACAGGGGGACAACAGCCGGAAACGGCUGCUAAUACCGCAUAAGCCCGCGGUGCCGCAUGGCGCUGCGGGGAAAACUCCGGUGGUACAGGAUGGGCCCGCGUCUGAUUAGCUAGUUGGCAGGGUAACGGCCCACCAAGGCAGCGAUCAGUAGCCGGCUUGAGAGAGUGGGCGGCCACAUUGGGACUGAGACACGGCCCAGACUCCUACGGGAGGCAGCAGUGGGGAAUAUUGCACAAUGGGGGGAACCCUGAUGCAGCAACGCCGCGUGGGUGAAGAAGUAUUUCGGUAUGUAAAGCCCUAUCAGCAGGGAAGAAAGUGACGGUACCUGACUAAGAAGCUCCGGCUAAAUACGUGCCAGCAGCCGCGGUAAUACGUAUGGAGCAAGCGUUAUCCGGAUUUACUGGGUGUAAAGGGAGCGCAGGCGGUAUGGCAAGUCAGAUGUGAAAGCCCGGGGCUCAACCCCGGGACUGCAUUUGAAACUGCCAGGCUAGAGUGUCGGAGAGGCAAGUGGAAUUCUUAGUGUAUCGGUGAAAUGCGUAGAUAUUAUGAGGAACACCAGUGGCGAAAGCGGGUUGCUGGAAGAACACUGACGCUGAGG